CCUGUCAGGCAGCUGAAUGUCCCCUAAGUUUGGGGAUCCUGGAACAUGCAGUGGGUUGCCUAGCUUGGCACCUGCCCCAUUCAGAGCCCUCACUUAUUGUCCCUUGUGACUCUCAAAGAUGGCAAUAGCUAGGGGUGAAAUCUAAAUACUCUUGCAGCCUCGUACAUUCAGUAACACCCCUGAAGAAGCCCAUGAGGAGGAGUCACUGGAUUCUCCUCGUCAGCCCAGUGAGGCCCUGGGCAGAAUUGAGAUGGUUCACCAGGGAGGAUUGGCUCUAGGUGCAGACCAUGGCCUAGGAACUAAGAGACUGCAGGGGUGGGUGCUGGAUAGGGAACGUAGCCCUAGGUAGGGUCCAGGGCCCAAGUCUGAAAGAGGCAGGCAACCCCCAGAACACCAAUGGCCUCUGCUCCAGGACUCUUGCUUGUUCUGUACCAAGGAAAGAUCCUCCUGCGCUGACCUAGUGACUGGCUCCCAAGCCCUGCCAUGCCUGCUCUCCGUCCGUCCACUGCUGGGGUCAGACGUGACAUCACCUUUCAGCAAGGUGGCCUAAGGGAAAUCAUGGGAACUACCAGAUGGCACCAUAUUGCAGCCCAGUGACCGGUUCCUGUACAGGCCUUUGCCAGUGCCACAGUCUUUAGGAGCACAGAGAUGAUACCAUGCAGUGCAAUCCAUGUGCAUCCAACACAGCCUGUGCCCACUGUCUCCACAAGGCUUGCUUUUGAUAAACGUUGGUCUUCUAUGGGUCCUGAAGUCCUCCACUUGCACAUGGAGAGAACGUGCCAUUCUCCAUCAUUGGUCAAGGGCAAGUACACUAUUUUCUGUGUUUCAAGCUGAAAAAUGUCACUAUUUCAAAUUGCUCCCAUAAAACAAAAGUUCUGUUGGCAAUGACUGGAAUGAGACACCCCCGUGAGCUGUUCUAUUGCCAGUCUG
Molecule: long non-coding RNA, 930 nt
Organism: Mauremys reevesii (Reeves's turtle)
Lineage: Eukaryota; Metazoa; Chordata; Testudines; Geoemydidae
Exons: 3
Source: RefSeq, a predicted model, not a curated record